UGUAGUGUUUCAUAGAUAUUUUCCUGGAA
RNAcentral lists this non-coding RNA (29 nucleotides) under Mus musculus (house mouse). Lineage: Eukaryota; Metazoa; Chordata; Mammalia; Rodentia; Muridae. The record is from RNAcentral.